UACGGAGGGUGCAAGCGUUAUCCGGAUUUACUGGGUUUAAAGGGUGCGUAGGUGGGCAAGUAAGUCAGUGGUGAAAUCUCCGGGCUUAACCCGGAAACUGCCAUUGAUACUAUUUGUCUUGAAUACUGUGGAGGUCAGCGGAAUAUGUCAUGUAGCGGUGAAAUGCGUAGAUAUCGAGAGGAACACCUGCGGCGAAGGCGGGUUGAUGGGCUGACACUGACGCUGAUGCGCGAAAGCUAGGGGAGCGAACGGG
RNAcentral lists this ribosomal RNA (253 nucleotides) under uncultured bacterium. Its description in RNAcentral is "partial 16S ribosomal RNA". It matches the Rfam family "Bacterial small subunit ribosomal RNA", at positions 524 to 776 of the family's 1533-position model. The record is from RNAcentral.